RNAcentral lists this ribosomal RNA (713 nucleotides) under uncultured bacterium. RNAcentral describes it as "bacterial SSU rRNA". It matches the Rfam family "Bacterial small subunit ribosomal RNA", at positions 45 to 800 of the family's 1533-position model. The record is from RNAcentral.
UGCUUCAACAUGCAAGUCGUACGAAAGUGUUAAAACUUUAGUGGCGGACGGGUGAGUAAACGCGAGAAUUUACCUUUAGGAGGGGAAUAACAGUUGGAAACGACUGCUAAUGCCGCAUAUCAUAACUAUGAAAGAAGAAAUUCGCCUAAAGAAAAGCUUGCGUCUGAUUAGCUAGUUGGUAAGGGUAAAGGCCUACCAAGGCGACGAUCAGUAGCUGGUUUGAGAGGACGACCAGUCACACUGGAACUGAGACACGGUCCAGACUCCUACGGGAGGCAGCAGUGGGGAAUUUUCUGCAAUGGGCGAAAGCCUGACAGAGCAAUACCGCGUGAGGGAAGAAAGCCCACAGGGUUGUAAACCUCUUUUGUCAAGGAAGAAGUUCUGACGUUACUUGACGAAUAAGCAUCGGCUAACUCCGUGCCAGCAGCCGCGGUAAGACGGAGGAUGCAAGUGUUAUCCGGAAUCACUGGGCGUAAAGCGUCUGUAGGUGGUUAAAUAAGUCAACUGUUAAAUCUUGGAGCUCAACUUCAAAAUCGCAGUCGAAACUAUUAGACUAGAGUAUAGUAGAGGUAAAGGGAAUUUCCAGUGGAGCGGUGAAAUGCGUAGAGAUUGGAAAGAACACCGAUGGCUAAGGCACUUUACUGGGCUAUUACUGACACUCAGAGACGAAAGCUAGGGUAGCAAAUGGGAUUAGAUACCCCAGUAGUCCUAGC